Labrus bergylta (ballan wrasse) is the source of this 957-nucleotide non-coding RNA. Lineage: Eukaryota; Metazoa; Chordata; Actinopteri; Labriformes; Labridae. The record is from RefSeq and is a predicted model, not a curated record.
CCCACACCUCUCUGUCUGUUGUCAUGGUAACACUGUUAGAGGAAGAACUGCACCUCUCUGUCUGUUGUCAUGGUAACACUGUUAGAGGAAGAACUACACCUCUCUGUCUGUUAUCAUGGUAACACUGUUAGAGGAAGAACUACACCUCCUGUCUGUUGUCAUGGUAACAACAGGUGUGUACUGACCUCAGGUGAGCACUGACCUCAGGUGAGCACUGACCUCAGGUCUGUUUCUCUCAGGUGAGCACUGACCUCAGGUCUGUUUCUCUCAGGUGAGCACUGACCUCAGGUCUGUUCCUCUCAGGUGAGCACUGACCUCAGGUCUGUUCCUCUCAGGUGAGCACUGACCUCAGGUCUGUUCCUCUCAGGUGAGCACUGACCUCAGGUCUGUUUCUCUCAGGUGAGCACUGACCUCAGGUGAGCACUGACCUCAGGUGAGCACUGACCUCAGGUCUGUUUCUCUCAGGUGAGCACUGACCUCAGGUCUGUUCCUCUCAGGUGAGCACUGACCUCAGGUCUGUUCCUCUCAGGUGAGCACUGACCUCAGGUGAGCACUGACCUCAGGUGAGCACUGACCUCAGGUCUGUUCCUCUCAGGUGAGCACUGACCUCAGGUGAGCACUGACCUCAGGUCUGUUCCUCUCAGGUGAGCACUGACCUCAGGUGAGCACUGACUUCAGGUCUGUUCCUCUCAGGUGAGCACUGACCUCAGAACUAUGACCUUUUUAAAAAAUAAUAGUGAGCAUAUUUAUUGGAUUUCUAAAUUUCCUGAUCUGAUAAAAUGAUUCAUGAUUAAAUCUGGACGGUUAAGGGUCACUUGCGUCCAGGUGAGAACAGGUAGGCAGUGAGAUGGCUCAGCCUGAUCGUCCUGAGGACCGAGGUCAGACGCUCUCUGAGACACAUGAGAUGUGUUUAAUAUAAAAUACGUUGAAGGUGAUGAUGAUGAUGUUUCUCCUCCU